GCAGUCGAACGAUGAAGCCCAGCUUGCUGGGUGGAUUAGUGGCGAACGGGUGAGUAACACGUGAGCAACCUGCCCCUCACUCUGGGAUAAGCGCUGGAAACGGCGUCUAAUACUGGAUACGAGUCGCAACCGCAUGGUUAGUGACUGGAAAGAUUUUUUGGUGGGGGAUGGGCUCGCGGCCUAUCAGCUUGUUGGUGAGGUAAUGGCUCACCAAGGCGUCGACGGGUAGCCGGCCUGAGAGGGUGACCGGCCACACUGGGACUGAGACACGGCCCAGACUCCUACGGGAGGCAGCAGUGGGGAAUAUUGCACAAUGGGCGGAAGCCUGAUGCAGCAACGCCGCGUGAGGGAUGACGGCCUUCGGGUUGUAAACCUCUUUUAGCAGGGAAGAAGCGAAAGUGACGGUACCUGCAGAAAAAGCACCGGCUAACUACGUGCCAGCAGCCGCGGUAAUACGUAGGGUGCAAGCGUUAUCCGGAAUUAUUGGGCGUAAAGAGCUCGUAGGCGGUUUGUCGCGUCUGCUGUGAAAUCCCGAGGCUCAACCUCGGGCCUGCAGUGGGUACGGGCAGACUAGAGUGCGGUAGGGGAGAUUGGAAUUCCUGGUGUAGCGGUGGAAUGCGCAGAUAUCAGGAGGAACACCGAUGGCGAAGGCAGAUCUCUGGGCCGUAACUGACGCUGAGGAGCGAAAGGGUGGGGAGCAAACAGGCUUAGAUACCCUGGUAGUCCACCCCGUAAACGUUGGGAACUAGUUGUGGGGUCCUUUCCACGGAUUCCGUGACGCAGCUAACGCAUUAAGUUCCCCGCCUGGGGAGUACGGCCGCAAGGCUAAAACUCAAAGGAAUUGACGGGGACCCGCACAAGCGGCGGAGCAUGCGGAUUAUUCGAUGCAACGCGAAGACCUUACCAGG
RNAcentral lists this ribosomal RNA (908 nucleotides) under Microbacterium azadirachtae. RNAcentral's name for it is "bacterial SSU rRNA". It matches the Rfam family "Bacterial small subunit ribosomal RNA", at positions 57 to 978 of the family's 1533-position model. The record is from RNAcentral. Lineage: Bacteria; Bacillati; Actinomycetota; Actinomycetes; Micrococcales; Microbacteriaceae.